This 35-nucleotide non-coding RNA is filed under the name unclassified sequences. RNAcentral describes it as "DUF805b RNA". It matches the Rfam family "DUF805b RNA". Rfam says of the family: Bacteroidetes, Chlorobi (1 example), Proteobacteria. Lineage (Flavobacteria) The record is from RNAcentral.
ACAGCGAAUUCCGAAAAGCUGAAACAGAGUAGGAA